AUACGGAGGAUGCGAGCGUUAUCCGGAUUUAUUGGGUUUAAAGGGUGCGUAGGCGGCCUUGUAAGUCAGCGGUGAAAUUUUGCAGCUUAACUGUAAAAGUGCCGUUGAUACUGUGAGGCUAGGAUUUGGUUGCUGUGGGUGGAAUGUGUGGUGUAGCGGUGAAAUGCUUAGAGAUCACACAGAAUAUCGAUUGCGAAGGCAGCUCACAAAGCCAAGAUUGACGCUGAGGCACGAAAGUGUGGGGAUCAAACAGGAUUAGAUACCCUGGUAGUCCACACUGUAAACGAUGAUAACUCGCUGUCGGCGAUAUACAGUCGGUGGCCAAGCGAAAGCGUUAAGUAAUCCACCUGGGGAGUACGUUCGCAAGAAUGAAACUCAAAUGAAUUGACGGGG
RNAcentral lists this ribosomal RNA (393 nucleotides) under uncultured bacterium. Its description in RNAcentral is "partial 16S ribosomal RNA". It matches the Rfam family "Bacterial small subunit ribosomal RNA", at positions 523 to 918 of the family's 1533-position model. The record is from RNAcentral.